This is a non-coding RNA of Myotis brandtii (Brandt's bat), 46 nucleotides long. The record is from Rfam. NCBI's taxonomy places the organism in Eukaryota, Metazoa, Chordata, Mammalia, Chiroptera, Vespertilionidae.
CCAAAGGCCCUUUUCAGGGCCGCCCACCCCCUCUCGGAAGAGCUGU